UUAACUCUCUUUGCCUUUUGGCUUAGAUCAAGUGUAGUAUCUGUUCUUUUCAGUGUAACAACUGAAAUGUCACUAUUCGUGACUUUAUUUGUUACUCUUAUUUUUGUCUCUGGCAUUUGGUCCUCUGGGCUUGCCUAUGGUCAAAUGCAUUGUGUCGUUGCUAUUGCACUGCCGGCAACUGACGCGAAUAUCU
This 193-nucleotide small nuclear RNA is filed under the name Lipomyces starkeyi NRRL Y-11557. RNAcentral describes it as "U2 spliceosomal RNA". It matches the Rfam family "U2 spliceosomal RNA". From Rfam's summary of the family: U2 is a small nuclear RNA (snRNA) component of the spliceosome (involved in pre-mRNA splicing). Complementary binding between U2 snRNA (in an area lying towards the 5' end but 3' to hairpin I) and the branchpoint sequence (BPS) of the intron results the bulging out of an unpaired adenosine, on the BPS, which initiates a nucleophilic attack at the intronic 5' splice site, thus starting the first of two transesterification reactions that mediate splicing. The record is from Rfam by way of RNAcentral. Lineage: Eukaryota; Fungi; Ascomycota; Lipomycetes; Lipomycetales; Lipomycetaceae.